Molecule: ribosomal RNA, 378 nt
Filed under: Bacillus sp. PSu5_25
Lineage: Bacteria; Bacillati; Bacillota; Bacilli; Caryophanales; Bacillaceae
Description: bacterial SSU rRNA
Rfam family: Bacterial small subunit ribosomal RNA
Source: RNAcentral
AUAACUCCGGAGAAACCGGGCGCUAAUACCGGAUAACAUUUUGAACCGCAUGGUUCGAAAUUGAAAGGCGGCUUCGGCUGUCACUUAUGGAUGGACCCGCGUCGCAUUAGCUAGUUGGUGAGGUAACGGCUCACCAAGGCAACGAUGCGUAGCCGACCUGAGAGGGUGAUCGGCCACACUGGGACUGAGACACGGCCCAGACUCCUACGGGAGGCAGCAGUAGGGAAUCUUCCGCAAUGGACGAAAGUCUGACGGAGCAACGCCGCGUGAGUGAUGAAGGCUUUCGGGUCGUAGAACUCUGUUGUUAGGGAAGAACAAGUGCUAGUUGAAUAAGCUGGCACCUUGACGGUACCUAACCAGAGAGCCACGGCUAACUAC